Molecule: long non-coding RNA, 963 nt
Filed under: Physcomitrium patens
Lineage: Eukaryota; Viridiplantae; Streptophyta; Bryopsida; Funariales; Funariaceae
Description: long non-coding RNA (PPAT_LNC000220)
Source: RNAcentral
AUGCUCCCCUUCACACCUUUUGGAAUGCCUUGAAGAGUGCAACACGCUCCACAUGUUUUCUUUCAGCAUUUGUUGGGAUUUAUCAGGUGAUUUGUUCGUGCUAUAUUCCUGAUUCCAAUCUUGGUUUUUCGAUUUUUUGCGACUGUGCAAUAUACACAAGGGGUUAAUAAACCUACGUUUGCCAAUCUGCACAAGAUGUUUUCAUUUGCAACGUUCUUGCCCGAAAAAUUGAUUCAUCAAAUAAUCGUAUGAGUUGGAGAAGAGUAGGAGAUUUCUAUUUAUGGCUUCUUCCUUGGCUUACGCAAUACAGUUCUGCGGGUGCUCAAAAUAGCUUCAAAGGUUUUUGACUUGAACGAUUUUCGCGUUGGGAUUUGUCUGCAGGGUGUAAUUUGUCUUCAGCGGAAAGUGGCCACGAGGGAUCACAAGCUAGUGUACUUCUUUGCUGGAGCUAUUGCAGCUUUGUCUGCAUUGAUUGAAAAGAAAAACCGCCGUUCAGAGCUUGCCCUUUACACCCUGCCUCGUGCUGGUGACUCUCUUUGGUACAUCUUGGUAAAUCGUCAUGUUUUGCCUAACAUCAAGCAUGCGGAAGUGAGUAUUGGUUCUAACUCUUCAUCUACAUGUUGAGCUAGUCUCAAGUUGAUUUAAUCAGAAGUGGGCUUGGAGUUUCAGGUUAAUCAGUAUUAUUAUGCUCUAUAAGACUUAAAACUUAUGAGAUGGACGACAAGGGAAGCUAAUGUUGAUUACUAGUUGCUAAUUCUUUCUUCCUUGAUCUUGGAUCUGUGCAGGUAGCACUGUUCUGCCUGUGCAUGGGUUGCAUCAUGUACUUUCACGAAUACGAGCCUGACACGAUGGCACCCUUCCUGAGGGGUCUACUUACACGGUUCCUUAACCGUACAGGUACACCUGCCAUGCACUCGUCGACGUCCUAUUCUUACUUGCCUGCACUUGCGUCUUCUGAUGACC